AGUGAACGCUGGCGGUAGGCCUAACACAUGCAAGUCGAACGGCAGCACAGUAAGAGCUUGCUCUUACGGGUGGCGAGUGGCGGACGGGUGAGGAAUACAUCGGAAUCUACUUUUUCGUGGGGGAUAACGUAGGGAAACUUACGCUAAUACCGCAUACGACCUACGGGUGAAAGCAGGGGAUCUUCGGACCUUGCGCGAUUGAAUGAGCCGAUGUCGGAUUAGCUAGUUGGCGGGGUAAAGGCCCACCAAGGCGACGAUCCGUAGCUGGGCUGAGAGGAUGAUCAGCCAAACUGGAACUGAGACACGGUCCAGACUCCUACGGGAGGCAGCAGUGGGGAAUAUUGGACAAUGGGCGCAAGCCUGAUCCAGCCAUACCGCGUGGGUGAAGAAGGCCUUCGGGUUGUAAAGCCCUUUUGUUGGGAAAGAAAAGCAGCAGGUUAAUACCCCGCUGUUCUGACGGUACCCAAAGAAUAAGCACCGGCUAACUUCGU
RNAcentral lists this ribosomal RNA (491 nucleotides) under uncultured bacterium. Its description in RNAcentral is "partial 16S ribosomal RNA". It matches the Rfam family "Bacterial small subunit ribosomal RNA", at positions 29 to 506 of the family's 1533-position model. The record is from RNAcentral.